CACAUUUUAAACAAGUCAAAUGUUUUUGACAUAAUGCUUCUUCAAGUAAGUGUCAUUCGGUUCUGUCAUGACAAGUUAGGGGUAGGGUGAAGGUU
Etheostoma cragini (Arkansas darter) is the source of this 95-nucleotide long non-coding RNA. RefSeq lists it as uncharacterized. NCBI's taxonomy places the organism in Eukaryota, Metazoa, Chordata, Actinopteri, Perciformes, Percidae. The record is from RefSeq and is a predicted model, not a curated record. The transcript is spliced from 4 exons.